AUCGCAUAUUUUACAUGUAAAAAGAUAUUAUUUAAAUACAUAUUCUAUUUAAAUACUAUUUGGAUCCAAAUUUACACCAUUGGCCUGUGAAAUCAAGGCCGUUGAGUGAACAUAGCUCCCGACUGUUGGAUCAAGAAAUAAAGGUCAUUAUUAAAAGAUAAUGAUUUUUAAAGUUAUGAUUUUUAUCAUAAUUAUCUUUUAAUAAUGAUUUAUUAUGAGAUGUAUAUCUUGAAGUAUAACAGCACGGCAUCAGAUAAAUGAGGUCACUUGGAAACUACUGAGGGGAUUGGAUUAUGGUCAGAUUAUUAUCCAUUUAAAUAUGGUGAUAAUUAAAAGUGAUUUUAAUAUUCAUAGGGUCAAGUUGCAUGCGACAAUGGGGUAAGGAAAUAGCUACUUUGGGUGAUGAUGAUGCGACAAGACCUAGAAAAGCUAGUUU
RNAcentral lists this long non-coding RNA (436 nucleotides) under Malus domestica (apple). RNAcentral describes it as "long non-coding RNA (MDOM_LNC005557)". Lineage: Eukaryota; Viridiplantae; Streptophyta; Magnoliopsida; Rosales; Rosaceae. The record is from RNAcentral.